This 1347-nucleotide long non-coding RNA is filed under the name Oncorhynchus kisutch (coho salmon). RNAcentral's name for it is "lncRNA (ENSOKIG00005045171.1)". The record is from RNAcentral. Lineage: Eukaryota; Metazoa; Chordata; Actinopteri; Salmoniformes; Salmonidae.
AUGAGGGAUAACAUGUGGCCCAGCAGAAUAAGUGUACAUUUGUCUCGUAUUCAAAAAGUUACAAAACAGGAUUCUCCGUUUGCUGCCUCUCUUUAUGGACUGAAGGAAAAGUCUUCGUUAUAUCUACAACCAUUUUUAAGCUAUUACAGUAACAUUGCUGUGGUCAUAAUAAUUUCUCCUCAGACAGUCAGUCAGUUGGGUAUUCCUUGGCUUUUCCUCAGUCAGACAGUCAGUCAGUCAGUCAGUCAGUUGGGUAUUCCUUGGCUUUCUCCUCAGUCAGACAGUCAGUCAGACAGUCAGUUGGGUAUUCCUUGGCUUUCUCCUCAGUCAGUCAGACAGUCAGUUGGGUAUUCCUUGGUUUUCUCCUCAGUCAGACAGUCAGUUGGGUAUUCUUUGGCUUUCUCCUCAGUCAGACAGUCAGUUGGGUAUUCCUUGGUUUUCUCCUCAGUCAGUCAGUCAGACAGUCAGUUGGGUAUUCCUUGGCUUUCUCCUCAGUCAGACAGUCAGUUGGGUAUUCCUUGGCUUUCUCCUCAGUCAGACAGUCAGUCAGUUGGGUAUUCCUUGGCUUUCUCCUCAGUCAGACAGUCAGUCAGUUGGGUAUUCCUUGGCUUUCUCCUCAGUCAGUCAGAUAGUCAGUUGGGUAUUCCUUGGCUUUCUCCUCAGUCAGACAGUCAGUCAGUCAGACAGUCAGUCAGUUGGGUAUUCCUUGGCUUUCUCCUCAGUCAGACAGUCAGUCAGUUGGGUAUUCCUUGGCUUUCUCCUCAGUCAGACAGUCAGUUGGGUAUUCCUUGGCUUUCUCCUCAGUCAGACAGUCAGUUGGGUAUUCCAUGGCUUUCUCCUCAGUCAGUCAGACAGUCAGUUGGGUAUUCCUUGGCUUUCUCCUCAGUCAGACAGUCAGUCAGUUGGGUAUUCCUUGGCUUUCUCCUCAGUCAGACAGUCAGUCAGUUGGGUAUUCCUUGGCUUUCUCCUCAGUCAGACAGUCAGUCAGUUGGGUAUUCCUUGGCUUUCUCCUCAGUCAGUCAGUCAGUUGGGUAUUCCUUGGCUUUCUCCUCAGUCAGACAGUCAGUCAGUUGGGUAUUCCUUGGCUUUCUCCUCAGUCAGUCAGUCAGACAGUCAGUUGGGUAUUCCUUGGCUUUCUCCUCAGUCAGACAGUCAGUCAGUUGGGUAUUCAUUGGCUUUCUCCUCAGUCAGUCAGUCAGACAGUCAGUUGGGUAUUCCUUGGCUUUCUCCUCAGUCAGUCAGUCAGACAGUCAGUUGGGUAUUCCUUGGCUUUCGCCAAAGCAGCAGGGUCAUUUCAGUCCACCCAAAAGCUGGGUAACUGGCACAGUUGGCACAUGCUUGUUUUAA